Molecule: ribosomal RNA, 493 nt
Filed under: uncultured bacterium
Lineage: Bacteria
Description: partial 16S ribosomal RNA
Rfam family: Bacterial small subunit ribosomal RNA
Source: RNAcentral
AUUGAACGCUGGCGGCAUGCUUUACACAUGCAAGUCGAACGGUAACAGGUUAAGCUGACGAGUGGUGAACGGGUGAGUAAUGCAUCGGAACGUGCCCGAUCGUGGGGGAUAACGCAGCGAAAGCUGCGCUAAUACCGCAUACGAUCUGAGGAUGAAAGCGGGGGACCGUAAGGCCUCGCGCGAUCGGAGCGGCCGAUGUAAGAUAAGGUAGUUGGUGGGGUAAAGGCUCACCAAGCCAACGAUCUGUAGCUGGUCUGAGAGUACGACCAGCCACACUGGGACUGAGACACGGCCCAGACUCCUACGGGAGGCAGCAGUGGGGAAUUUUGGACAAUGGGCGCAAGCCUGAUCCAGCAAUGCCGCGUGCAGGAAGAAGGCCUUCGGGUUGUAAACUGCUUUUGUACGGAGCGAAAAGGCUCUCUCUAAUACAGGGGGCUCAUGACGGUACCGUAAGAAUAAGCACCGGCUAACUACGUGCCAGCCGCCGCCGUAA